This 7638-nucleotide long non-coding RNA is filed under the name Musa acuminata (dwarf banana). Its description in RNAcentral is "long non-coding RNA (MACU_LNC003188)". The record is from RNAcentral. Lineage: Eukaryota; Viridiplantae; Streptophyta; Magnoliopsida; Zingiberales; Musaceae.
AGGAAUAGAUUGCAAGACAUAGUCAAAAUGGAGACGCUUCAAAAAGGUUCUGUUUAGUACCUAAACCACAAGCCCACACAAUAUCUAGGGAUCUAAACAUCCCUCAAAACUAUGAAAAUUUCAGUAAGAACAAAACAAUUGCAGGAUAACAACACCAAUGCACAAACAAGAGGUGAAUAGCUACAUAUUCAAUUGGCACGGCCUCUUAUCACAUCGAGGCCCAUCUCAGAUGGAUCAGUUGCUUGUAACUCCACCUGGAUGCCAUCCAGUUCUCUCUUGAACCUGUCCUUGGAGCUUGCAUAAAGCAUCUUGCUUCGCACUCUUGAUGUGUCAGGCGACCUUCACAUGAAUAUGAAAAGUAAUAGGAAGUUAUUAUCUAUACAUCAAAGGGAUAUUAAAUAAAGUCCACUGGAUACAAUGGAUUAAUGUACCAAGCGAUAAAAAUGAUCUUGCUUUUCUGGCAGUUCUCUUCGUUCACGAAAUCAAAAUCAUAUAUCGCAUAUCUGCAUUCAUUUGUAGGAAGGGUGGCAGUGAAAUCAUCAUAGGUCAAAUUGGGUUCACCGAGCUUUUCCACAAUGACCUGCUUCUGUUUCUCAUCAAUCUUAAAUAUUAUGAAACGAUAAGUUCGCUUAGCCUUCAACUCCAGGAACUUCAGCUUGCAGUCAUCAUUUACUGCCAUUCCUGAUGCCGCGUUUGCCUUUCAUAUCACAAAGUAACAAGUCAUUCCCAUAAAUGUCAAAUCUAGUUACUAUAAUCAAAUCUUAUUCUCCUAGAUAAUCAAAUGUAGUUAUUAGAGGCCAUAUGGCAAAUAACAAACCAGACAAUGAAACAUCCUACGUAUAUACUAAUGGCAAAAAAUAAGAGCUAAAGUGUUUUUUCUGGGGCGGGUGGCGGGGAGUGAGGGAAGUAUUAAUAUAUACAAAUUCAUGUGCACGUACGUAUAUACGCGUUUGUGUAGAUCGACAAAAUGAGUAAUCUUAGCGUCGCUGUAGUCCGAUCCUCCCAAAAACCUUGGAUAAUCCAAUCGAUCCAUCGCCUUUUAUCAACAGAAUGAAGUUAAAUGGCCCAAUCCAUGAAUAGGAAUGGUAAUCCAUCCGUCAAAACAAGCAGGACCAACGAUUAACCACUUCGAUCGACACAAACCGACGAAGAAGUUCAACAAUCCACAUAUAACAACACACCAAUCACAUCAAACCCACUCGCAAACCCUAGCGAAAUGAGAUCAAGCACAAGAACUAACCCCUGAAGACGAACCUACAUGAUUCGGAGACAGAUUUCACGGAUUCCAGAACAGAAUACAAUCACCGGACAUGGAUGCAUGAAACACCGCAAAUUUCUUGAUCACUAGUCAAGAAGGGACGGGAUAGGAGGAGGAAAAAAAGAAAGCUAGCAUCGAAGAGACAGAGGAAAGAAAGUACCAUCUUGGGGGCGGCUAUGACGGGAGAUCGGAGGAAGAAAUCGAGGGCUCGAGAGGUAGGGAUUCGGGGAAUGUAGAUGAGCGAUCAAAAGGUGGUGGCGGUGAUGGUAGAAUGUGUUCUUUCUUUUGGCUUAAAUAGGGAUGGGUAGAUCGUGACGGUCGUCACACGAGGUGCCGACAUAAAGCAAAGGUUUGUCCAAUGACGUUACGGCACGUUGGAGCGAUCCCUCUUGACGCAGUGACGUUGCGCCAAAUAAAUGCCUGCUAUUUAUUCACGCUUAGACACGUGUGUUUUAUAGUUUUGGCAUGUAUUAUACGUGUAUUAAUAUUGAAAAAAGAGUACAUGGGUAUUUUAUGUAUAUCCUUAUAAAUAGAGGAUAUUUAUAUCAGUAUACCAAAUAUUAAGUGUCCUAGUAAACUUGACUUAUCUCGAAUUUUAUAUAGAGUUUAUUGCACCAAAUUUAAUGGAAACGUGACAAACACAUUUUCGACUUCUCAUAAAAUCUCAAGGACGACUUGCAUAUAAAUACACAUAUGUUGUAGGAUACAUAUGUAAAAUACUCAUUUUAUUAUAGAAGCCCUUUCGCUAUUGGUAAACCCUCUUGACAAUCACGUUAAAUAAAUAUAUAAUAUAAUUAUCAAUCAUAUACUAAAUAUAUAAUAUAUAAUAUAGUAAAUAUAAUAUAAUAUAAUUAUCAAUAAAAAAAUAUUUUACUUUAAAAAAAUAAUUAUCAAUCAUAUCCUUAUUUUUCACAAUAUCUUAUUUUAUCUAUUGGACAAUCAUCCCGGUGACACUACUCUAUCAUCUUAAAUAAAUAUAUAAUAUAAUUAUCAAUCAUAUACUAAUUAUAUAAUAUAUAAUAUAGAAAAUAUAAUAUAAUUAUAAAUAAAAAUUAUUGUUUACUUAAAAAAUAAUUAUCCAUCAUAUCCUUAUUUCUCACAAUAUCUUAUUUUAUCUAUUCGACAAUCGGUGACAUUACUCAAAAUCACUCUAUGCUACUUUUAGAGCAUUUACAUCUAUUUGUUGAGGGAUGUCUUUAGAAUAUUAAAAAUCUUAAAAUAAGAUUAUAAAUAAUAAAUUAUCAAUAAAAAUCUCUUAAAUAAUAAUAAUAAUAUUAUUAUUAAUAUGAAUACAUGGGUCUAUUAUACAAAAUUCAUGAAAAAGAAUAGUUAAUAGUUAUGUCUUCAAGCUUUUUUUCUUUCACUCUUAUAAUAAUAAUAAUAAUAAUAAUAAUAAUAAUGAUUGUGGUAUUAUAAAGAUUGUAGUAUUAUAAUGAUUAUAAUUUAUCAACGUUCGGUUACCAAAAUCUAACCUUGCUAUUAUUAAACAAAAAAUUAUCAUUGGCUAAAAUUGUUACCAUUAGCACAAAUAUAUCUAUUAAUUAAGAUGCUCAAAUCUUAAAUAAAACCUUCACAAGUAAUUAAGAUCAUAAGAUUUGGUUAUGAUCUUGCUACACAAAAGUGGCCCUCUACAUGCAUGUAAUCAUUGGAAGAUAGACUAAGGAUUGGCAUUUGUUAUUCUUUAUAUUUUACUAUUUAUAAAAAUAGUAAGACUAACAAACACUCGAAACAAAAUCAUGUUUUAUAACCUUUCUUUUUUUUUGUUUAAGAAGUACUUACAAAUAUUUAAAAAGUUAAGAAAUAUAAAGGUUUACUUACAAAAGAAUUUAAAGCAAAGUAUAUCCUUCAGCUCCUAACAUUUGUAACAAGUAAAAUACUUCCAAUAACAUCAAGAAAACAUACAUAUAUUUUUAGAACUGUGAUGAUAAAUAUAAACAUUAUCAGACAAAUCCAACACAUUAGAUGUUUUUCAAUAAGCUUGGGCAUUAUGGUUAUAGAAAUAACCAUUAUAUCGAAAAAUUUAACAAAAACAUACCAAUGUUUUUCAAUCAGGUUGGGCAUUAUGGUCAUAGAGUGACAAAUACAAAAUUUUUUGGGGUACAUUUUCUAGACAUUUUGUAUGUUGAAUUUUUAUUAUUUAUAUAUUUUUUAAUAUAUUAUAACGGACACGCUAUUCUUUUUAUUGGUGUUUUCAAUUAAUGUUGUGUAAAACUAAUAUGAUAAUAUUUGAUACAAUUUUAGUUUUUCGACUUAUAAUCAAUAAGCCGAAGUACUUUACCAUCUCAAUGAAUAUUAUAGAUGUAGAGACAAAAUUGCUUCCUUGAUACACCAAUAUCGAAUAGAAAAAAAAUAAGAUUUGUAUCAAAAUCAAAAUUAUCGAGACUCAAAUCGAAUAUUAAUCUCAUUGUUGUUUGACUUAUUGAGUAUAUAUCUAACAUAUAAUUCUUUUUUACACCUCAAUCGAAAUCCACAUUUGACAAAAUCUUUUAGUGUUUUUAAAGAUUGUGGUAUUAUUAUGAUUAUAAUUUGUCAAUGUUCGAUUACCAAAAUCUAACCUUGCUAUUAUUAAACAAAAAAUUAUCAUUGACUAUAAUUAUUACCAUUAGCACAAAUAUAUCUAUUAAUUAAGAUGCUCAAAUCCUAAAUAAAACCUUCACAAGUAAUUAAGAUCAUAGGAUUUGGUUAUUAUCUUGCUAUACAAAAGUGGCCCUUUACAUGCUAGUAAUCAUUGGAAGAUAGACUAAGGAUUGGCAUUGGUUAUUUAUUUAUAUUUUACUAUUAAUAAAAACAGAUAGACUAACAAACACUCCAAAAAAAACCAUAUUUUAUAACAUUUCCUUUUUUUUGUCUAAAAGUACUUACAAAUAUUCUAAAAGUUAAGAAAUAUAAAGGUUUACCUACAUCCUUCAACACCUUUGUAACAAGUAAAAUGCAUCUAAUAAUAUUAAGAGAACAUACCUAUAUUUUUAGAACUGUGAUGAUAAAUAUAAAUAUUAUCAGAUAAAUCCAACACUUUAGAUAUUUUUUCAAUCAGCUUGGGCAUUAUGGUCAUAGAAAUAAUUUUUACAUCGGAAAAUUUAGCAAAAACAUACCAAUGUUUUUCAAUCAAGUUAGGCAUUUUGGUCACAGAAUGACAACUACAAAAUUUUUUGGGAUACAUUUUCUUGACAUUUUGUAUGUUAAAUUUUUAUUAUUUAUAUAUUUUCUUAAUAUAUUAUAACGGACACUCUAUUUUUUUUAUUGGUGUUUUCAAUUAAUGUUGUAUAAAACUAAUAUGAUAAUAUUUUAUACAAUUUUAGUUUUUCAACAUAGAAUCAAUAAGCCGGAGUACUUUACCAUCUCAAUGAAUAUUGUAGAUAUAGAGACAAAAUUGCUUCUUCGAAACACCAUUAUCUAAUAAAAAAAAGAAUAAGAUUUGUAUCAUAAUCAAAAUUAUCGAGACUCAAAUUGGAUAUUAAUCUCAUUGUUGUUUGACUUGUUGAACAUAUAUCUAACAUAUGAUUCUAUUUUAUACCUCAAUCGAAAUCUAUAAAAUCUUUUAGUGUUUUUAAAGAUUGUGGAAUUAUAAUGAUUAUAAUUUGUCAACAUUCGAUGACCAAAAUCUAACCUUGCUAUUAUAAAACUAAAAAUUAUCAUUGGCUAAAAUUAUUAUCAUUAGCAUAAAUAUAUCUAUUAAUUAAGAUGCUCAAAUCCUAAAUAAAACCUUCAAUCAUAGAAUUUGGUUAUGCUCUUACUACACAAAAGUGGCCCUCUACAUGCUUGUAAUCAUUGGAAGAUAGACUAAGGAUUGGCAUUGGUUAUUCUUUGUAUUUUACUAUUUAUAAAAGCAGAUAGACUAACAAACACUCAAAACAAAAUAAUGUUUUAUAACCUUUCUUUUUUUUUUGUCUAAGAAAAACUUACAAAUAUUCUAAAAGUUAAGAAAUAUAAAGGUUUACCUACAAAAGAAUUUAAAUCAAAAUACAUCCUUCAGCCCCUAACCUUUGUAACAAGUAAAAUGCAUCCAAUAACAUCAAGAAAACAUACCUAUAUUAUUAGAACUGUGAUACUAAUUAUAAACAUUAUCAGACAAAUCCAACACAUUAGAUGUUUUUCAAUCAGCUUGGGCAUUAUGGUCACAGAAAUAACCCUUACAUCGAAAAAUUUAAUAAAAACAUACCAAUAUUUUUCAAUCAGGUUGGGCAUUAUGGUCAUAGACUACAAAAUUUUUUGGGGUACAUUUUAUUGACAUCUUGUAUGUUGAAUUUUUCUUAUUUAUAUAUUUUCUUAAUAUAUUAUAACGGACACGCUAUUCUUUUUAUUGGUGUUUUCAAUUAAUGUUGUGUAAAACUAAUAUUAUAAUAUUUGAUACAAUUUUAGUUUUUCGACUUAUAAUCAAUAAGCCGAAGUACUUUACAAUCUCAAUGAAUAUUGUAGAUGUAGAGACAAAAUUGCUUCCUCGAUACACCAUUAUCGAAUCGAAAAAAGAAUAAGAUUUGUAUCAAAAUCAAAAUUAGCGAGACUCAAAUCAGAUAUUAAUCUCAUUAUUGUUUGACUUAUUGAGCAUAUAUCUAAUAUAUGAUUCUAUUUUACACCUCAAUCGAAAUCCACAUUUGAUAAAAUCUUUUAGUUUAUUUAAAGAUUAUGAUAUUAUAAUAAUUAUAAUUUGUCAACGUUCGAUGACCAAAAUCUAACCCUGCUAUUAUUAAACAAAAAAUUAUCAUUGGCUAAAAUUAUUAUCAUUAGCAUAAAUAUAUCUAUUAAUUUAAUGCUCAAAUCCUAAAAAAACCCUUCACAAGUAAUUAAGAUCAUAGGAUUUGGUUAUGAUUUUGCUAGACAAAAGUGGCUCUCUACAUACUUGUAAUCAUUGGAAGAUUGACUAAUGAUUGGUAUUGGUUAUUUAUUUAUAUUUUACUAUUUAUAAAAGCAGAUAGACUAACGAACACUUGAAACAAAACAAUGUUUUAUAACCUUUCUUUUUUUUAAUUUAUGUAGUACUUACAAAUAUUCUAAAAGUUAAGAAAUAUAAAGGUUUACCUACAAAAGAAUUUAAAGCAAAGUACAUCCUUCUUCCCCUAACCUUUGUAACAAGUAAAAUGCAUCCAAUAACAUUAAGAAAACAUAUCUAUAUUUUUAGAACUGUGAUGAUAAAUAUAAACAUUAUCAGACAAAUCCAAUACGUUAGAUGUUUUUCAAUCAGAUUGGGCAUUAUGAUCACAUAAAUAACCCUUACAUCGGAAAAUUUAUCAAAAAUAUACCAAUGUUUUUCAAUUAGGUUAGGCAUCAUGGUCACAGAGUGACAACUACAAAAUUCAGAGGAUCCACAAGUUAGACCAAAAUACUAAUAUAUAAGCUGCAACUUCAGUUGAAAAUAUGCUAACACACAGCUAAAGAAGUAGAAAGUGUGGCACCUGUAUGAUUAAUCCAUUUGGCAUCUUAUACAGACCUACCGAAGCUCAUUUCAGAGUCGAGUGAUCGGAGACUGAUACAAGCACUAGCAUAUUAACAAACAAAGGCAUGUCCUACAAUGAUGACUGCAAUAACAACCGAAUUGCUCAGCAAAGACAACACUGUAUUGGCCAUUUUCCAUAUGGAAAUGGAAUACAUACUCGAUAAACUGCUCCAAGUUGAGGUAUGGCACACAGACUAUCAAUUUGUAAAACAUCACACAGUACUUCAAGUUCUAAGAGCUAUUGCUUACUGGAUUGUCUGAAGAACCAUCCACAUAUAAGAAUAAAAUAAAUACAGAGAAAGUAAAAACAUCAAAGAUUGAAUACUAUAGUUUCUCAACUCGAAUACUAAAAGAACACUAGAAAGAUGCUAAAUACAAAAUUAUAGAAAAUUGUUUACAAGAGACAUGAAAGAUUUGCACAUAGCAUAGCUUUGGUUAAGUUAGAAAAAACUUAUUUUGAAGUCUCUAUAGAAAUUAAACACACAAUUUCAUUAAAUAGCUGAUGCACAGCGAUUAAGACUAAGAAAAGAAAAACAAACAAAGAUAAAGAAAGGCCAAACAAAAACAAAAUAACAGGACGGGAAACUUCAAGCUUAUCAAUUUGCAAUUUGCGUAAACAAGAAAACAGUAGUUGGAUUGUCUUCGAAAUAUUGCGCACCAAGCUCUCCAACAAGAUGUUGCAUACCACUAGCUUGUAGACAUUAGGAUAUUAGUAGGCACUCACACAAUAGGUACCACACAGAAAUAGAUUGCAAGACAUAGUCAAAAUGGAGAUGCUUUAGAAAGGUUCUAUUUAGUACCUAAACCACAAGCCCACACAAUAUCUAGGGAUCUAAACGUCCCUCAAAACUAUGAAAAUUUCAGUAAGAGCAAAACAAUUACAGGAUAACAACUCCAAUGCACAAACAAGAGGCGAAUAGCCACAUAUUCAAUUGGCACGACCUCUUAU